RNAcentral lists this unclassified non-coding RNA (263 nucleotides) under Hevea brasiliensis (rubber tree). Lineage: Eukaryota; Viridiplantae; Streptophyta; Magnoliopsida; Malpighiales; Euphorbiaceae. The record is from RNAcentral.
GAUCAAACAAUAACUUCAUUCUCAUUAUCGAGAGAUGAUAGGUUCUUGCUGGUUAAUCUUCUGAACCAGGAAAUCCACCUUUGGAACAUAGAAGGUGGCAUCAAGCUUGUAGCCAAAUAUAAAGGUCACAAACGUGCCCGCUUUGUUAUUAGGUCUUGUUUUGGGGGACUGGAACAGGCUUUUAUUGCCAGUGGCAGUGAAGACUCACAGGUAUAUAUAUGGCACAGAGGGUCCAGAGAGCUCAUAGAGGCAUUGCCUGGUCA